Molecule: ribosomal RNA, 253 nt
Filed under: uncultured bacterium
Lineage: Bacteria
Description: partial 16S ribosomal RNA
Rfam family: Bacterial small subunit ribosomal RNA
Source: RNAcentral
UACGAAGGGGGCAAGCGUUGUCCGGAUUCAUUGGGUUUAAAGGGUGCGUAGGCGGCUUAUUAAGUCAGUGGUGAAAGCCGGCGGCUCAACUGCCGAACUGCCAUUGAUACUGAUAAGCUUGAGUAUGGUCGAGGUAGGCGGAAUUUAUGGUGUAGCGGUGAAAUGCAUAGAUACCAUAAAGAACACCGAUAGUGAAGACAGUUUACCAGGCUACAACUGACGCUGAGGCACGAAAGCAUGGGGAUCGAACAGG